UGAAACCGAAAAUAAAUCGGUGUUCUUCUUCUUCACCGGUUCGAUUUUUCUUUCCCUCUUCUUCUUCUUCAAAAAACGCCUCUGCGAUCGUGCUUGAGUUUGCCGCUUUCAGUGGUGAAUUCGCACUCGAAUUGCAGAGCAAAACGAUUCAGUGAUGAAGAUUCUUUGAUGAAUCUCUGAGAAUCGGAGAAAAACUGAUGAAUCUGUUGAAUUUGAGUUCUGGAAAAUUUUAGGGUUUUUUAGUUUGUUCUUGGUGAUUUUUCUGUUUUGAUCUAACAGAAAAGAGAGAGAAAAUUGAAAUCUGUUUUUGGUGAUGUGUCAAUGAUUGUGUGGAUCUGUGCAGAAUAAUGCUAUUUAUAGACUGCCAUGUGUAUCUGAGAACCAAUGAAAAAAAGACAUCUGUUUUGGGACUGAUGUGGAUCGAAAAUCUGGACUAAAAUGCCCCUGGGACCUUUCUGCAAAAUAAAAAACUUGAAGGACUGGACAACAAUUAAAAAUGGACUAAAAUGAAAUUUUUUAAAAGUUUUGGACCAAAACGUGAUUAAAAAUAAAAUUGGACUAAAAAGUAAAUUUGACGAAACGUAAAGCGAAACCAAAAAUAAAAUGAACAAAAGGACUAAAACGAACCAAUUACUGACAUGAGG
RNAcentral lists this long non-coding RNA (644 nucleotides) under Medicago truncatula (barrel medic). RNAcentral's name for it is "long non-coding RNA (MTRU_LNC000752)". The record is from RNAcentral. Lineage: Eukaryota; Viridiplantae; Streptophyta; Magnoliopsida; Fabales; Fabaceae.